Molecule: ribosomal RNA, 522 nt
Filed under: Bacillus cereus
Lineage: Bacteria; Bacillati; Bacillota; Bacilli; Caryophanales; Bacillaceae
Description: bacterial SSU rRNA
Rfam family: Bacterial small subunit ribosomal RNA
Source: RNAcentral
UGCAGUCGAGCGAAUGGAUUAAGAGCUUGCUCUUAUGAAGUUAGCGGCGGACGGGUGAGUAACACGUGGGUAACCUGCCCAUAAGACUGGGAUAACUCCGGGAAACCGGGGCUAAUACCGGAUAACAUUUUGAACCGCAUGGUUCGAAAUUGAAAGGCGGCUUCGGCUGUCACUUAUGGAUGGACCCGCGUCGCAUUAGCUAGUUGGUGAGGUAACGGCUCACCAAGGCAACGAUGCGUAGCCGACCUGAGAGGGUGAUCGGCCACACUGGGACUGAGACACGGCCCAGACUCCUACGGGAGGCAGCAGUAGGGAAUCUUCCGCAAUGGACGAAAGUCUGACGGAGCAACGCCGCGUGAGUGAUGAAGGCUUUCGGGUCGUAAAACUCUGUUGUUAGGGAAGAACAAGUGCUAGUUGAAUAAGCUGGCACCUUGACGGUACCUAACCAGAAAGCCACGGCUAACUACGUGCCAGCAGCCGCGGUAAUACGUAGGUGGCAAGCGUUAUCCGGAAUUAUUGGGC